AAUUUGCGUUAGGGAUGGAAGCGGUAUCCUUUUUAAUUUGAUUGCCAUAAAGCAAGGCAAAUUUAAAAGAUAUAGCGUACAGCCCGACCCUUG
Molecule: small RNA, 93 nt
Filed under: Flavobacterium terrigena
Lineage: Bacteria; Pseudomonadati; Bacteroidota; Flavobacteriia; Flavobacteriales; Flavobacteriaceae
Description: Flavo-1 RNA
Rfam family: Flavo-1 RNA
Source: RNAcentral